CUUUUCCGGGGAAUAUGGAUCUGUCCCUUCCUCCUUAUACCUCCUCCUAUUAUGUUCUCAGAACUGUGUAAUUCUUCUCACACUCAGUAUGAGAAGUGUCAUCUCUAAUGCCGCAUCUAUCGAUUAGCAGUGUCUGUCUGCAGUGUGGUAUUGACAGGGAUUCCGAGGCUACAGGAAAUACUGCCAUGAUUGAUUUGCAAUGUCUGCCACAGGCACAGGAGAGAACACUGUUGGCAAGUGCACAAGGCAACGUACCUGGUAGUCCUUGAAGGUGGAUGAAAGGAAGUAAAUCAUGAUGCAGUUUAAAAAUCCCUUCAUCUAUAAUCUGACGUACUUCUGUGAACAUAUACACCAGUUUGGUUUGUGACCAGAAUCAUGGAAAGAGCCAUCAGAAAAAUGAAACGAAGCAACAUGGAUAAACCUGCUUCCCAGUAUACGAAGCAGUUUGCACAUGAAAGGGUUCUCAUAUGGUUGUUCACUCCGAAUGAGCAGCUUCCCGACACACAGAAUGGGCUUCAUGAUCGUUCCACCCCUCGCCGCGCUCCCUGAUAACUAGAAGACCCUCUGUUUCCUUUAAAAAGUGAAACUGGGCCAAGCACAGGGCCAGGCGCCUGGAAUCACACUCUCAGUGGGGC
This 635-nucleotide long non-coding RNA is filed under the name Fukomys damarensis (Damara mole-rat). RNAcentral describes it as "lncRNA (ENSFDAG00000033246.1)". Lineage: Eukaryota; Metazoa; Chordata; Mammalia; Rodentia; Bathyergidae. The record is from RNAcentral.